CCUACGGGUGGCUGCAGUGGGGAAUAUUGGACAAUGGGCGAAAGCCUGAUCCAGCCAUGCCGCGUGUGUGAAGAAGGCCUUCGGGUUGUAAAGCACUUUCAGUGGGGAAGAAAGCCUUGGGGCUAAUACCCUCGAGGAAGGACAUCACCCACAGAAGAAGCACCGGCUAACUCCGUGCCAGCAGCCGCGGUAAUACGGAGGGUGCGAGCGUUAAUCGGAAUUACUGGGCGUAAAGCGCGCGUAGGCGGUCUGAUAAGCCGGUUGUGAAAGCCCCGGGCUCAACCUGGGAACGGCAUCCGGAACUGUCAGGAUAGAGUGCAGGAGAGGAAGGUAGAAUUCCCGGUGUAGCGGUGAAAUGCGUAGAGAUCGGGAGGAAUACCAGUGGCGAAGGCGGCCUUCUGGACUGACACUGACGCUGAGGUGCGAAAGCGUGGGUAGCAAACAGGAUUACAUACCCGAGUAGUC
Molecule: ribosomal RNA, 465 nt
Filed under: Vreelandella stevensii
Lineage: Bacteria; Pseudomonadati; Pseudomonadota; Gammaproteobacteria; Oceanospirillales; Halomonadaceae
Description: partial 16S ribosomal RNA
Rfam family: Bacterial small subunit ribosomal RNA
Source: RNAcentral